CCAAAUCUCCCCACCCCUAGCGCUCUCUGCCUCGCUCGCCUCCUGUCCUUCCCCUCCCGCUCCAUCCGGGUCGCUGACGGCUGUCUUUGGACUGGACAGCGGUGGCGGCUGCUUUUCUCUCGGGAACCCAGUAAAGUUUCACAGGAGCCGAGGAGCGGAGCAGCGGAGCAGCUUCACCGACGCCGGAGGAGCUCUAGUUUUCGCCUCCUCUGGCUGAAGGAGGAGGGUCCGGGAGCUGGAGACCUGCUUCAGCUGCCGCGUUUCUUCGCUCUCCGGGGAAGCGCCGCCCCCCGUCGGCCUGGGCUUCCCCUGCCUGGAGGGGCCGGACAUAGGGAUACCUCCAACUUUCCAGUGUUUCAGAAAGGAGUUUUUUGUUGAAACUGGAAGACCAAAAGAAUUACAAACAUGUUGUGCUGGGGAAAUGCAUCUUUUGGACAGCUAGGUUUGGGUGGAAUUGAUGAAGAAAUUGUACUAGAGCCCAGAAAAAGUGACUUUUUUAUAAAUAAAAAGGUCCGAGAUGUAGGAUGUGGACUCAGACAUACUGUAUUUGUUCUGGAUGAUGGAACAGUGUACACAUGUGGAUGUAAUGAUCUAGGACAGCUAGGUCAUGAAAAAUCCAGAAAGAAACCAGAGCAGGUUGUUGCCCUGGAUGCCCAAAAUAUCGUAGCUGUUUCAUGUGGAGAAGCUCAUACAUUAGCACUAAAUGACAAGGGCCAGGUGUAUGCUUGGGGUCUCGAUUCUGAUGGACAGCUUGGCCUGCUAGGAUCAGAGGAAUGUAUCAGAGUACCCAGAAAUAUUAAAAGUUUGUCAGAUAUCCAGAUAGUACAGGUUGCUUGUGGUUACUAUCAUUCACUUGCACUUUCUAAAGCAAGUGAAGUCUUCUGUUGGGGACAGAAUAAAUAUGGCCAGCUGGGUUUAGGCAUUGACUGUAAAAAGCAAGCGUCACCACAGCUGAUUAAGUCUUUACUUGGAAUCCCUUUCAUGCAAGUUGCAGCAGGAGGCGCCCAUAGUUUUGUACUUACCCUUUCUGGAGCUAUCUUUGGAUGGGGACGCAACAAAUUUGGUCAACUAGGUCUUAAUGAUGAAAACGAUAGGUAUGUUCCUAAUUUGCUAAAGUCACUAAGAACUCAGAAAAUAGUUUAUAUUUGUUGUGGAGAAGAUCAUACUGCUGCACUAACCAAGGAAGGUGGAGUGUUUACUUUUGGAGCUGGAGGGUAUGGUCAGUUGGGUCAUAACUCUACCAGUCAUGAAAUAAACCCAAGGAAAGUUUUUGAACUUAUGGGAAGCAUUGUCACUCAGAUUGCUUGUGGAAGGCAGCACACUUCUGCUUUUGUUCCUUCAUCAGGACGAAUUUAUUCUUUUGGACUUGGUGGUAAUGGACAACUAGGAACGGGCUCAACAAGCAACAGAAAAAGUCCUUUCACUGUGAAAGGAAAUUGGUUUCCAUAUAAUGUGCAAUGUCCUCCAGAUUUUGAUUCUGAAGAAUAUUUCUGUGUAAAAAGAAUUUUCUCAGGUGGAGAUCAAAGCUUUUCACAUUACUCUAAUCUCCAGAACUGUAGGCCACCAGAUGACUUUAGAUGUCCUGAUCCUUCAAAGCAAAUCUGGACUGUGAAUGAAGCCCUAAUUCAAAAAUGGCUGAGCUACCCCUCUGGAAGAUUUCCUGUAGAGAUAGCCAACGAGAUAGAUGGAACGUUUUCUUCGUCUGGCUGUCUGAAUGGAAGUUUUUUAGCUGUUAGCAACGAUGAUCACUAUAGAACGGGCACCAAAUUUUCAGGGGUUGAUAUGAAUGCUGCUAGGCUUUUAUUCCACAAACUUAUACAACCUGAUCAUCCUCAUAUAUCUCAGCAGGUGGCAGCUAGUUUGGAAAAGAAUCUUAUUCCUAAACUGACUAGCUCCUUACCUGAUGUUGAAGCAUUGAGAUUUUAUCUUACUCUACCAGAAUGUCCCCUGAUGAGUGAUUCCAACAAUUUCACCACAAUAGCAAUUCCCUUUGGUACAGCCCUUGUUAACCUAGAAAAGGCACCACUGAAAGUACUUGAAAACUGGUGGUCAGCACUUGAACCUCCACUAUUCCUCAAGAUUGUAGAGCUUUUUAAGGAGGUUGUGGUACAUCUUUUGAAGCUCUACAAGAUCGGCAUUCCCCCUUCUGAAGGAAGAAUUUUCAACAGUUUUCUUCAUACUGCACUAAAGGUUUUAGAAAUAUUACAUAGGGUAAAUGAAAAAGCGGGACAGAUUAUACAGUAUGAUAAAUUUUAUAUACAUGAAGUGCAAGAAAUAAUAGACAUAAGGAAUGAUUAUAUCAACUGGGUACAACAGCAGGCCUAUGGAAUGGAUGUCAACCAUGGAUUAACUGAGUUGGCAGAUAUCCCUCUUACAAUCUGCACAUAUCCAUUUGUAUUUGACGCCCAAGCAAAAACUACUCUGUUACAAACAGAUGCAGUCUUACAGAUGCAGAUGGCUAUUGACCAGGCCCACAGACAGAAUGUCUCCUCUCUUUUUCUCCCAGUGAUUGAAUCUGUGAAUCCUUGCUUAAUUCUAGUGGUCCGUAGAGAAAAUAUUGUAGGAGAUGCAAUGGAAGUACUUAGGAAGACAAAGAAUAUAGACUACAAAAAGCCACUCAAGGUUAUAUUCGUUGGAGAAGAUGCUGUUGAUGCAGGAGGGGUACGCAAGGAAUUUUUCUUGCUCAUCAUGAGGGAAUUAUUGGAUCCUAAAUAUGGCAUGUUUAGGUAUUAUGAAGAUUCCAGGCUCAUUUGGUUUUCUGAUAAGACAUUUGAAGACAGUGAUUUGUUCCAUUUGAUUGGUGUUAUCUGUGGAUUAGCGAUUUAUAAUUUUACUAUUGUGGACCUCCAUUUUCCUUUGGCUUUAUAUAAGAAACUGCUAAAAAAGAAGCCAUCCCUGGAAGAUUUGAAAGAACUAGUACCUGAUGUUGGGAGAAGCAUGCAGCAACUACUGGAUUAUCCAGAAGAUGAUGUUGAGGAAACGUUUUGUCUUAAUUUUACGAUCACAGUUGAAAACUUUGGUGCAACAGAAGUGAAAGAGCUGGUUCUAAAUGGUGCAGACACAGCUGUUAACAAACAAAAUCGGCAGGAGUUUGUUGAUGCUUAUGUGGAUUACAUAUUCAAUAAAUCUGUGGCUUCCUUAUUUGAUGCUUUUCAUGCGGGCUUUCAUAAGGUCUGUGGAGGGAAGGUCCUUCAGCUCUUCCAGCCUAAUGAACUACAAGCAAUGGUUAUCGGAAAUACAAAUUAUGAUUGGAAGGAACUGGAAAAGAAUACAGAAUACAAAGGAGAGUACUGGGCAGAACAUCCUACAAUAAAAAUGUUUUGGGAAGUAUUUCAUGAAUUACCAUUGGAAAAGAAAAAACAAUUUUUGUUAACCUGUAUGCUAUGAAGCUCAUCUGUGAAAUAGCAGCCACUUUGGAUUAAUUCACAUGGAGUUCGUUGAAUAAGUAUUUUAACAAGGGCUGACACCUUAUCUGGGAACACAACAGUACAAGGCAUAAUUGUGGGUAAGUCUGAUAUUCUUUUCCUCCCUCUGUUGCUGCAGACAUACAGUAGAAUUAACAGCAGGGAGAUUCAUGGUAGGAAAUUAAAAUAAUACCACUGAAGAUUUUUGAAAUUUCCAUUUGCUUUUUAAGAAGUAACAAAAAUAUCGAGCUUUAUAGUUGGCAGAUACUGAGUUCACUAAAUUAUAAGGACCAUGAUUAUUGAGUUGACUAACUUUUUAGAGUAUUUGGCCUCCAGAUAGGCCUAAUAUGUAAGAGCAACCUGUUUUUAGCCUCCCUGUCUUAAGUCAGUAGUAAUUUUAACCAAUAGCCAUUGUUCAGACUGAUUGAAAAGAUAGUAGAACCAAGACAUGUCUUUAAAUUGGCAUGAAAUAAAACCAGAAUGGAGUUUUUAAAACUGCAUUCUAAGAGCCCCAGCCUUACAUAGGGGCCCACUAUCCAUUAGGAUUAAUUUUUACUGACAGAUUUUUUUUGCCUGCCUUACUGAUUUUUACUGCAUUUAAGUCUUUUGAUUCAAAAAAGUCUUUUGAUUUUGUAAUAUGCACAUAGGGCAGUGUUCCCUGGGAAAACAUGGUGAGUUCUCAGAAAGCAGGGGCAAAUUAGCCUAUUCUCAACUUCUUCCCAAUCUCCAACCUCUUCUGAAGCCUCUAAAACUCCUGAUGGUAGUUUUGUCCUUUCUGAGUAAUUCACUUUCAGUAGCUUCCCAUUCUUAAACUGGUAGUAUUUCUAGAGAUAAAUUGGUUAGUCCCUGUUCCGUUAGUCCAGCCCCUGGGAAUGAUGCGUUAAGUGCAGAAGGGAACUCCCCCUAUUCUUUUCCCUUCUCAAUUCUUAACAGACUUUAUCACCUGGGGCUACUUUUUAACACUAUGCACAAGCCCCACUUUAGGCCAAUUAAAUGUUACCUCUUAGAGGCGAUGCACAGGUUACUUGUACUUUCAAAAACUUCCCAAGUGACCAUUUCUCCAUAUUUCUGCUAGCAUCCUAGCUUUAAUUUAAGGCCAACUUUGUUCAUGUUUUAAGGAAGGGUAGAAGUUUUCAUGUACAUAUACAUACUUCUAGAUUACAAGUGUAGGAGUGGAGACCUGUUUCAGCAGGUGGGUAUAUAUCACCUUAUGUACCACUAAGGGAGAUGCUAAUUAAACCAUGUGCCAUUAAUUGCAUCAGUGGAAUGUACUAUAUAGUGCAUUAACCAAAGGGAAUAAAAAUAGCACUGACUAGGUGGCUUUAAUUAAAUCAGGUCUUGCCAAGUAUUUGACUACUUAAAAUGACUACACACCCUCCUUUUUAGGAUAUGAACUACCUGACUUCUUUCCCAUUUUGUGCAUAUAAGCAGUAUCACUUCCUUAUUUGUAAUUGACUUCAAAAGUUUGUUGGGGAGGAAGGCAAGAGACCUGAGAGCAGGGCAUUUUUUUUGAAUAGCAGGUUUAUAGGAGGUUAUACCAAAUGUCGUUUUUUUGUCCUCUCCUAUUUAGCUUCAAAGUCUAAAGUUCACUAAAGUUCACUACAGUUGUGCCAUUCUCUGCUGUCCCUCUACCCCCAAAUCCUUUGUCUAAUCUUUCCUUUCAUAUGGCAGAGUAGAAUGAGGGAGAAAGGCAGGCAAGGCCUAAGGCCUCUGGCGUAGACUGAUUGAAAUACUAGUUUUGAAUGUGUGGUGAUGCACUGAUUGCUACAACCAGCACUCUUCAGUGUUCAAGUACCGUUGUGCUGAGACUUACAAAUUGAAUAAGAAAUGUUGUAUUAGAAGAGAGCAUCUAAGCCCUAAAGGCUGUACAAAUUCUGCAGAUUUUUAAAAUUUUAUACCUUAAACAAUGUAAGUUAACAGGAAAAAAGUCAAAUGACAAUUUUAAUAGACUUUAAAACAGUGUACAAGUAUAAAACACUGGUUUUGUAUUUCAAAAGUUGGAGGAAGAUAUCCAGUCAUUAAACAGUCUACAAAACAUAUGCCAGUAGAUUACAUAAAAGACUAUGUACAAUAUAAAAAGAGCUGAGAACAGUCUUCACUGUAAAAAUAAUUUAAAACAAAAUUUUCAAUUUAAAAUAUCAUCUAUAGCACAAACACACAUCAUGCAAAUGGAAAACUAAAUAUACUGCAUUCUUUAGUGUAGCCAAAUAAAUUCAGACUGAGACAUCGUUUAGGUAGGGAAAUGGCCAUUCAGUAGAACUUUUUCUCUGGCAGUAAUGGUCCUAGCUGGGUAUUUUAUACACUUAAAGAACAGCUAUAUUUCAAACUUUUUUUAAGUUGUAAUAAAUACUAAAGCAACAUAGGAAUACUUUAUCUGGAAGUACUGUUGGGGAAAGGUCUGGGAAAUAAAUGCUCAAUGUGCAAUUUUAUAUAAAGUAGGAACUUUUUUGAAAGGCUAGAAGCUUCUGCAGCUGAGAGAGCUGUCUCUAGUUUUAAGGCAGGCUAAGCUUUUAAAUAAAGACACGUCAUAGGAACUAGUUUCAUUAACUAUCCUGCUAUUACAAGUUACAUCACGUUCAUCUCCGUAAUACUAGGCUAGUAGUUUGGUGUUUAUUAUAACAAAUCCUCCCAACAGGAGACAUGUACUUACUUUACUGGCGGAGUUAUAAUUAACAUCUUACUACUUUGGAACUGUAAUCAGGGACCUGUUGCUCUCAUUAAUGGAGGAGGGGUGCAACAGUCCAAAAUACUACACUCCCCUUAGUUGAAGUAUCAUUAUUAUUGAUUCAUAAAGGCUUUGCAAAUUCACAUCUUGGCAGUUUAAUACUUGUGGGAAAGAAUCAAUGCAAGUUCUACCACAGUGACAGGUAUUUAAACAACAAUGGCAAAUAUUCUCAAAACUAAGGGGACCCAGGCAGGCACUAUUGUCUCUAAAGCAACUGAAGUAUUUCCAAAGCAUUUAUUUGUUUUUUAGGUUAGUUUUAUGAGCCAAUAUAGACAUUACUACAUGUCCACAGGAAGUACAAAAGCCAUCUUCAUUUGAACAAUAUCCCUAAAACUGUUAGCACCAAGUCUCACUUUAAAAAGCAAAGACAACCGAGUGCUCUCCCACAUAUUGUUGACUUCCUUCUAAUCACAUUGCAUGUCAUGAGAUUUUUAAAAAGUUAGCUGCCACAAGUUUUGGAAAAUGCCAGUGUUUAAAAAUAGAUAAUUGUGCUAAUAAAGAAUCAAAAGUUUAGCAGAACAGAGAUUUGAGGAUUUCAAACCAUUCAAUAUUAGAAAGAAAAGUGUGUAAAUACCAUUCUUUGGUCUAGAUAAGCUGUUCCCUUUACAUUAAUUUAACAUUCCAAUGGCUUUUUGAAAACUUCAAAAUGUUGAAACUCACUAGGCAAAAACAGAAUUAUACAUACAGAUGUAUCAUACAAAUGAACCUUUAAAAGAAAAUCUUGUCCAACAGCUAAUUAAAGAUACUUAGUACCUUUCUUAAAUUAAAAAAUAAAAAGAGUUAGUGUUUGUAUAAGCACAGAAAUAAGGAAGUUAAAAAUUACCCCACAGGGAAAAAAAAAAGUCUGUUUUACCAGUCUAUAAAUAUUACACCUUUCUGGUUUCAUUGCUCUAGAGUUCACAAGUAAACAUUCAUUUUAACAUGCUAAAGUUCCUAAUGCUGGUGGAACAAUUCCUGUACCUGGACAAUUAUUACGAUUUGUUUGAUGGAUAGUUAAUGCCUGCUGCUUCCUGUUUCAUGGAUAUAGUAGCUUCAUUGGAUAUAGCUUCAUUAACUGCCUCUUGAUCACCUCCAUCAGCUCCAAAUCCAGUUCCUCCAGCUCUCUCAUUACCAUCAGCAUCAUCUUCCAAACCAUUGUAAAAUUCUUCAAUCUCACUUUCAUCCUCCAUGGGUUCUUCUAAACUUGGACUCUGGCAUGUUCCACUAUCACUGUUACUGCCACAAGAACUAGAGGAUAAGACGUCAUCUUCAGAGUCUGAAUAUACCUCAGCGCCAUGGAAAAUGUAACGGUUUGGUGGUAAAAACAGAUAUUGAUUACCUAAAAUACAGUAAUAAAAAUAGGUUAUUUCCAGGUUUCUAAGACUAACUUGGCCUGACCAGGCUGUCUGGAAUAAGCUUAGGUUCUAGUUCUUUUACCUAAGUAUCAUUAGUAGAGGCUAUUACAGAGUUUCUCAAAGGCAAGCUAUAGACUACCUCAUUCCUGGCUGCGGAUCUUAGUUCUGCCACUCACCAUCUCUGUAAAUUUUGAGUUCUCUCUGCGACUAAACUUCCUCAGCUGGAAAAUGAAGUAAUUUUCACAACCCUAUGAGGUAAGUAUGAAUAAAUGUAGAGAGUCACGUUCAAUGAAGUUUAGUUAACGAACUCCUUGAACAGAUCUGAUGAGAUGAAAUUAAGUAUCCAGCCCACCACACAGAAGGGCCUACCACACACCCUCUGAAUUGGAAUCUUGCUUUUAUGAGUCUUAUACACAUUUCAUUUAAGUGUGAGAAGCAAUGAUAUUGACCUUUCCCAACAUCUGUAUCCUGUACCUGUCUGUUUUUGCCCUCUUGGCAACCAUCAAGACAUUUAAAAUUUACUUCCUAUUAUUAUAUGCUCCAACUUUCUCCUUUUCAGACUUGACCUCACAACAAAAAUAAUAGCAAUAACAGCUAAAAAUGUUAAGUUUUACACUCUAUAUCAGUUAUCUUUUUAAAUGCUCACAAUGCUAUGGGAGAGGUAGAUGUGAAUUAACUCAGUCUAAUUCCAAAGCCUGUAUCUUUAAAGGUCUAAAUUGGUAGAGUAAAACCAAGGCGUAAUACCAAAGACACUGCUCUAGGUCUAAUCUUUCUUUCCUGGGGCAGAGUUUUAUAUAUUUGACUCAUCUGUCACAAAGAUAGCCAAUGAAUAUCCCCAGUAGGUACUCUUGCGUAUGAUAGAAACUUCCUUUACCGGAUACAGUCAACAGUAAUUUUUCUGUUUCUGACUCUUGCCACAUUUGCAAAUAUUCUAUGCAAGUAUUUUUCUAGUUUCCCCCACAAAAGACAUCUCCUACUUAUCUAUAGUUCAAGACCCAAGUCAGAACUUAGGUUUUUAGAAAACCUUCUAUAACCCAGUCCCCUGGAAGUAGCAUCUACCUUUUAAAAUAUCACCAACUUCUUCAUUCACCUAUUUUUGUAAUUAUACACAAACAUCAGUAGCUUGAUCAAGGUCUCCAGAACUUGCUACACUGCCUACUAUGGAAAAGGCCCAAACAUUUAUUCAGCUGAACUGAAAUUUAUUUACAGCAAAUGAUUAGAAUACUUAAUAAUUUGUCCCAAAUUUCUCAGUUUUUCACCACAUAUGGUAAAUGGAAUGGGACUUAAUAUUUUAAGCUGUACACUAUUGCUGCAUCUAAGUUAAUGAACCCACAUUACUGCUUUAAUUAAAUUAGGAUUUUUCACCAUAGAUACUACUUGGACAUAAGGGUUUCAAAAAGUAGGAAGUGAUUUCACCUAUGUUAAUACUAACUGGUAAAGACUUUCCAUGUGUCAAAACAGGGCAGUUGCUAUUUCUGAUACUCCGGAGGAGUCAGAUGUUUUUUGGAUCUGAGACAACACAACAUAAUGGUACUGGAGACAACAUUCUUCAAAUCCGGAUUCUCCAUCUGUUCAUUAACACUUUCAAUGCUCCUAGAAGUCUGUACUUCCUGUAAUUUUUCUUCUACACCGUCUUUCGAUUCAGACACACCUGGGUCAUCAACAUUGUUUGUUGCUUGGUUUAAAAGAGUGACAAUCACUGAAGAAUCUGGUGGUGGAGUUCUUUCUGGUGAACUAGAGUCUUCUGAAAUAUUGAGAGGUGUGGGUGGCAACUCUGACAAAUGAGCCAACUCUUUUUGUGGUCGUGGAGGUUUUUCAGUAAUUUCUGAAAGCUUUACAGGGUUGCAGCAAAGUUUGGCAUAUUCACCACCUAACCUAUGACACAAUUCAUUAAUAAUGACAUCACAGUCUCCAAGAAGCUCUACAUCAAAAUGCAGGUGAGGCAAAGGUUCCCUAUUAAUUAAUAUCUGAGGCACUUCAUGGGGUAUGGAACCUAAAAGUAGAGUGAAAAAGUAAGUUAGAGAAAGGAAGGGAGGCGCCCUAAUAAAGGCACAACAAAUACACUACAUAAAAAUCUAACAUGCUCCCGAUAUGAAAAAAAACCUGCCACUAAUACAUAACCAAGCUAUUACAUAUCAUCAAGCUAUCAAGUAAACAGAUGAACAGUUAAACAUCUUUCAGAAUUUCAGUUUCUGCUCCUGUCACCUAUUUGCUUGCCUCUGAGUAAUCAUCUUUUCCAUUCUGUACCUCAAUUCCUUGUGUGUAUAAUGGGGAUAAUAACUACUUUUCCACAAGCUCGCAGGGAGGAUUCAGUGAGUUAAUACAAAGAGUUCUUGGCACAAAGGAGGUGAUAGUUAUUCUGAAUGGCUCCCAAUAUAAAAUGUAAAACUUCAUACAAGUCUACUUUCCACUAUCAUACACCAGUGUCUUACUUGUUUUAAAAAAAGAACCUUUGCCUAUCACUAUUAUACUACCCCACAGAAAACUUAACACUUCUCUGCCUUUAAAGAGGAAAAAAAAAAACUCAAAAAAUAAAAAAGCUUAUACAUUAAAUUUUCAAAUUCUGUUUAAAAACUGUCCUAUAUUCUACUUUGAUAAAAUUUCACAGCUAUUUAGGGAAGAUCGAAUUAAACUGCUAAAACCACUACAUGUCAGGUAGGAAACAUGCUGAAUUGGAGACAUAACUCCUUGUUUCUUCCAGUGGUUGACCCUGGCUGCCUAUUUGCUGGUGUAGGAGUCUAAUUUAAUUCUCUAGUUAAGGGUUUGAUAUUCUCUGCUUUCUUUCUUCCCUCACUUUUUAGGGCACAACUAAUCUACUGAAAUCAGUCUCUCUAUCUUCCUUUCCCUGUUUGCUCACUGAGGGAGGGAAAAGAAGUACAGGAGCACGGGUUAAAGAAAUAUUCCUGAGAGCAUCAGGGAUUCAAAUUGAGCAUUUUUAUAUGCACAAACACCCUUAUGGGUAGAGCUGAUCUACAUACAAUGAUUAUGACAAGGCAUUGUUAUUUUUACAAAAACAAACCAAACGUUGUGAACUCUGAAAUUCUAUCUUACAUGAGUACAUUACACACCUAUCAAGCUAUACAUUUGAAUUUACUGGACCAAAAAUCAAUUAAAUUUGAAAGAUCAAAUUAAGAUUAAAAACACAGAUUUUUUUAUUUUACUGUUUCCUAACUGUAUAUAACUUAGUUGAUGUUAACUUCUGCCACAUUAAAAACACAUUCCAUUGAAAAGUUUAGGUUGAACUGUUUCCCAUUGUCUUAAGUUUUAUAUACAGUACAAUUUUAUAUUUACUUCUGUUUUGAAAGUAGUAUCACCCACCUAAACCCCAAUGAAAUGUGAGAUAAACCAAUCUUCAUGAACAAGAAUGUCACCUAAAGAAAAAUAGUUUGACUCUUCACCACUCUAACAAGAUUUUUUUUUUUUUUUAAUGGAGGUACUGGGGAUUAAACCCAGGACCUCAAGCAUGCUAAGCCCAUAUUCUACCACUGAGCUAUUUCCCUUUCCCCCUUUAACAAGAAACAGCAAGAUCACUGGGGUCUACUCUACAGACCCACAACCCAUGGCAAUAUAUACAGAAAUGGUUCUCUAAAAACCAUCACCAACUUACUUGGAAUUAGUGCUACUGGUCUUACUUUCAGGGAAGACCCAAUAACAAUGAGAAGAUCAACUUCAUCUUUGUCAUACUUCAUGGCUCUGUGAAACUGUUCUGGUAAAUUUUCACCGAAAAAGACAAUCUCUGGUUUCAUGAUAGCAAGUGGCUCAUCAGCUGGGCACCUAGGACAUCGAGGAACCACCUGCAUGUUCCAGAUUUUGGAUGAGGUGGGAAAGAGAAGGCCCAAGUUAGAAAUAGUCAACAUUUCCACACUUCCCAAGAAUGCAUUUCAAAAUUAUCAAAGAAAAUAGAAAAGCUGCGGAUAAACAGCAGGGAAAACUGGGUAAAACCUAAACAACAUCAACUAUCAAUGACCCAUUAAUUUGUUAACAUAAAGUGAAAUACAAUUUUGCUAUUAUCUGUGCUAUUAUAUCUGUAUAGACCUACAUCUGAUAUUCAAUAGUUUGUUAUAUAUUAAAAGGAAAAACCAGCAUAUGUAUAUACGUACGUACACACACAACUAAUCCUUUAAAAAAUAAGUUUGUAAAAUACAGUGAUGCCAUCCUUCUCUAAUAAUUAUACAUGAUUAACUAGAUGUGUGACUAACCACAAGGAAUUUAUUUCUGGAUGUUGUUUAUUCUCUGCCAUAUUUUCCUGUAAAUUUUUUUCGCAGCGUACAAUACUUUGUACAAAAUACUUCAUGCAGGAAUUUUUUUAAAUUUUAAGGGAGGAGGGUAUAGCUCAAGUGGUAGAGCUGGAUUCAAUCCCCAGUACCUCCUCUAAAAUUAAAUGAUUAAACCUAAUUAAUAAUAAAUCUUCAAAAACCGUAAUAUAAAUUUUUUUUAAAUUUUAAAUCACAACUCAUUUAAGAUUCUGAAUCUGACAGGCACUAAAAGGGAGAGUAAGGAGAAAAACUAAACUAAAUAAAACCCCAACUUAUGAUCUGGGUUUUUAUUUUAGGCUUAUAUAUGAAGUAACCAAUUUAAUCAUUUGAGAGAGAGCAUGGAUCAAUGUUUUCAAUUUAAGGUAUUGAAAGGUUUUUGUGUAUUUCACUGGAAUUCCCAAUGGUAACUAAUACUGACUUCCUGAAUGUUUCUGUACUACAUACUUUCAGGGGAAAAAAAAAAGAUUGAGGCAAAAGAAACAGAUCAGAGACAUGCACAAUUCCUAAAAUAAAUUACCUGAUUAAAAAUAUCUCCCCGUACAGCUUCACAGUCAACUUUGUAUUUACAAAUUAGGCAAGAUGCUGUUGCAAAGGAACCUAAAAACAACCAAUAUAUAUGCUUUUAUUAAAGGAAUUUUCCAUUUCUUAAACAUACCACGAAAGUUAUAAUAUAAAUUUGACACCAAAAAGUUAGAGAAUUUAAAAAUUCUAAGGCCUUCACAAGAGAGACAUUGAUAUAUUGAUGCUUCCUAAAGCUACUCUUUUUAAUAAACCAACUCCUCCAGGACUAGAACUGCAGAUUUUGAAGGUUACUGUUAUAUUACCUUAGCUUAAGAGCUGUGUUUUAAAGACAGUUUAGAUACAUAAGAAAAUGGUUGUGUAUUCAUACUUGUUUUAGAUCAAGUCUUCAAAUUUCUGAAUCCUGUACAUCUGAACUACCCAGUAGUUUCUUUUGGUUUCCUAAAGAUGCCAUUUUUUUUCAUCCAUAGCUACUUUUGUAAUCCAAAGAGAUUAUUUAAAAGAAUGUAAUGUUAUGCAACUGCUGCUACAUCUUUUGAAAUACAAAAGCACGUUACGUUUGAUGUUUUGUACAGUUAACUGUCAAGGCCAGUACUUUCUGAUUUCCUUUUUUUGGGCUCUACUCAUCAACAAUUAAUCAUAAAAUAUGAUUAAAUAAUAAGGCUUAAUCUCCAUUCCUGGAUGGCAGCCUACUUUCUAAUUCUAUUUUUUUCUACAAAACUAGUAAAUAAAUAAUAGCAAUUCUGAAGUUUACUGACCAUGACACUGAAUUAUCCUUUGGAUUCCUGCAACCUGUUCCAGUGUAUCAAUGUUCUGAGUAUAGUUGCGAAGAAGUUUUCCUUCCUUAUCUGACAAGGCUAUGAAUUUGUGACAGAGAGAUGGUUGGAACUGUCCAGGAUAUAUUUCCUAGAUAAUGCAAAAAGCAGAAAAAAAGAUAAAAAGAAAUAAGGGUAACAGAUGUCAUACAUUUAGGUUUAACCAAAACAAACAGACAAAAAAAAAUACCAGUGAUAAUUCCCUGUGUGUAAGUUAUUUAAAAAACAAUAUAUGAGCAUCUCAAAGCAUCUAGAUGGAUGCAACACACACCUACCAAAGGACUGUUGCUGUAAUAUGUAUAAAACUCAGCAAUUAGUGAACUUGGCCCCUUGAAAAGGAUAAAGUCAACCCAUAAACAUCUCUUAAAAAUGUUAAUAGAUAUUUUAGUAAAAGUCAGAAGAAAUACACACCUUAAUAUAUAUCUAAGUUUUGUUGGCUGCAAAUUCAGAUUUUUUUUUAAAGGAAAAAAGGGGGAAAGUUUAAACUGAAAGAUAUCAAAGGUAUGGUGACUUCUUUUUUAAAACUAAAAAAAGGCACUGUCAACAUAGUAUUAAAAUUUUUUGAUUCAUCAUUCAUUAUAAAUAUCAACCUGUUGGAAGUUUAAAGCUAAAGUUUUAAUUCCUUACCAAAAUUGUUUUCCUUCCACUGCACAGGCACAUACUGGUAUAGUAUAGAGUUGCUCAUGAAUGCUGAGUUGCUGGAUUUUGUGUGUGUGUUUUUCCCCCCAAAUAAUGCUUCAAUGCUGUUUCUUCUUUAAAAACAAAGAAUUCAGAUAUACACAUGGCAAAAAGAUCAGAGAAAAAGUAUCAAUUUUGGUCCUCUCAACUUUUGACAGUGUUUUUUCUUCUAUUAAAUUUCAUUUAGUAAGUGACUCUGGCAAAGGAAGUUUCUUCUCUACUUUUUUCUUUGAAGUAGCAGUUCUGACGACUUCCUCACCAUUCAUUACAGCCUCAGCCUCUAACCUAUUACAGUGCUAGCAAAAAACUCGACACAACCAUAUGUCCAUCACUAGGGGACUGGUUGUAGAAAUGGUACAUCCAUAAUAGUGGAGUAUGCAGCCAUUAAAAUGAAUGCAGGAGGACUAGAUACACUGACCUGAAAGAUAGCCCACGACAACGUGAAAAAAAGUUGGUCAGCAGUGUGUACAGUUUUGGUUUUUUAUUGUUAUUAAGCAAAAAUGGAAACUAUAAUGCAAAGUAUAUAGAUAGGUUCAUUUAAACAUCAACUCAGGAAGGAUACAAAUAAGCUAUAAAACAGGCAAGGGAACUGUCCCUUCUGAUGUCAUACAGAAAAAGUUUAAUAGAUUCUACACAACUUUUAACUUUUAAUCUACUUAAUAUUUCAAGUUUAAAAAAACUAUCUACAGGGAUAUCCUUUAAGUGAAAAAUAAGCAGAUCUCUUAACUAUCACAUACAUGCCCAUAUGCUGCUGAAAAUGUUAUACAAAACCCAAAAUUCUGCCUCCCAUUCAAAUUUUUAUCAUGAAUUUCAUAAACAACACUGUGAUUUAAUAAAGUGCAUAUAGAAAGAAGUAACAAGUGAAGAGUUUAUCAAAGCUGAUGUUUAUAGAAAACUGAAAGCCACAUUAUGUUCUGGACUAUUGGGUUGUGCUCUAGUAACCAAUGCUUUCCCCCCCAGGAUGCUUUGUUCUAUUACAUUUACAUUUAGAGGAUUAAACACCAUAAUACCUUAUUAAACCUCCCUCUGGAAAUAGCUGUCAGAGUAUUUUAACAAAUAUUAGAGUAUGUUGGGCAACAGGAUCUAAGGAAAAUGCUAAUAGCAUGCCAGAAGCACCACAAAUGGCUGACUACCUCCAGAGCAACACUGGGCAGCAUGAGUAUUAAGACUCCACCCUUCUGGAAUGAACUUUUUUGUGCUUUAUCAUCUCCCACCCUUUUUCAAAGGGGAAAGUAAGAAGCACAAAGACCUGUAGGAACACUAGAUUCAACUCUACACUCCAGCUUCCCUUCGCGUCUUACCCAUUAACAGUUCAGGAUGAGAGGGAGGGUAUAACUCAGUGGUAGAGUGUGUGGUCAGCAUGCACGAAGUUCUGGGUUCAAUCCCCAGUACCUCCAUAUAAAUAAGUAAAUAAAACCUAAUUAUACCCUCCUCCAAAAAUUUUAUUUUGUUAAUUCAGGAUAAUUUAGCCCUUAAAUUUACAAAUCAAUUCCUAUAGUUGGGAAUAAUUUAUAAAGGAUUUUUUUUUAUUUUACAAGCCAACACUUUAUGUGUUAGAACCUAAGUGAAUCGAAACUUAUGUUUUCUGUUAAAUAUGCAGUGGACCAUGUCUGAAUCAUUAAAUUUGAAUACUAUGUUCAAAUUAAGGGAUAUAAUCUUAAAUAAUGGGGGGAAAAAAACUGUACUCAGGAAGGACUGUUACAUAGAAACUAGUCCUAAAUCAGACUCUUUUAACAAGAGAAGUUUACUAAAAACUAAUAGCUGAGAUACAACUUUCAGAUAUGGAACUGUGACAUGCUAAUUACUGUUCUAAGCAAGACAGGCCAUCCCAAAUCUGAACAUCCUUAAGCCCUAUUAAGGAACCAAUCAUGUGGGCUGGACCACUGUUAUUGCCAUAGGGAUCCUUUUAGAACAGAGUGGAAGCAGAGCCCAGACCAAAGGCUCAAAAUGCUAUUAAAAUUAAUAACAAGUUGCUUUCACACAGCUGUGUCCAGAAACAUGCAAACAAUCCAGUAACUGGCCAUAGGCAACCAAUGUGGCCAAAACUAAAGCUCAGAUCUACCUGCCAUAAUUAGUUUUCAUGUAGAAAUAAUGGGCUUUCUCCAGAGACACUCCGCUUGCUUUCUUAAAAUUCCAGCAAAAGGUAGGCAUGUUAAUUGCAGCCCCUUGAAACUAAAAAGACUCAUCACAAGUCUGAUGCUACUAUUUGUUAAGUAAUAAGGAGAGUUGUUAAACUAGAACCUAGUGAGGAGAGAAACAGCUCAACUGGUAGAACACAUGCUUAGCAUGUAUGAGGUCCUGGGUGAAAGAAAGAAAAGAAAAAGGAAAUAAAAGACAAAAGGAAAGGAAAGAAAAAGGAAACUAGAACCUAAAUUCUCCAUGUUAAGUCCAACUGAUUGAUCUUGGUAAGGAAAAUCCUGAUAAUCCCUGGUCCUGUUACAUUCAUUCCACAAAACCACAGACUGUUCAAUCUUACCUAACCAAUAUUUACAAAUUAAAGUUAGUCACCUGACAAAUUAACUACUUUUUUCCCCCUUAAAAGUCUGGUUUCCUGAGGAACUCAAGGUUCAGCAAACUUUACCCAUACCGGGGCACCAGAUAGUAAAUAUUUAAGAUUUUGGGCUGAGGCUCUAGUCUGCAGCCCCUAUACUAACCUAACACAAGAAAAUUUCAAUUAGUCAAGCUAUUCAUUACCACUUAAUGCACCAGGCGUAACAGAAGCACUUUAUAAUAACGCUGUAGACUGGGCUGAGGACUGAGUUUUUACAUUUUCAAAGAACUGUAAAGGAAAAGAACAGUUUGACAGAGCUCCCAUGUUGUCCACAAAGCAGGUUACAUUUACUACCUGGCCAUUUACAGAAAAGGUCUGCUGACCCUCCUGUAAACAUAUAAAUCCCAUUUUGCCAAUGAAAAAAUGAAAGUACAUUAAGUCACUUGCCAGUAGUCAUAUGAGCCAGUAAGUAGCAUAGCUAUCACUCAAACCCAGUUGUGAUGCCAAAGUGCAGCUCUUAACCACUAUGUAAUACUAAUACUGCCUUUUCGAUUUUUAAUCCCUCAACCGCAUGUUUCCUAUUUUUCUUUCAGGCUAAGUACCAUUUCUAUAAGGUUUUGCAAAUCAGUCUAGUAAGACUAAUCUAGCCUACUAAGUAUUUCAUUUUGCACAUCUUCAUGGGAUUACUGGAGGCUGGAAUUCCAAUCACCCUCUUAACAUAAAAACAUUUGACAAUAUGUAAAGUUCCCACAAAUCACUGAGAAAGAAAAGCAUCUCAAUGGAAAAAAAUGCGAAGAAGAAUCAGAUGAUUCAAAGAUAUACAUAUGGCCAGUAGUACAAAGCAGUCAUCUACACUAAUAAACAAAAUAGAACACACUAAUAUGAGAAGAUGCAGGGGGGAGGGUAUAGCUCAAGUGGUAGAGUGCAUGCUUAGCAUGCACGAGGUCCUGGGUUCAAUCCCCAGUGCCUCUUCUAAAAUUAAUUAAAAAAUAAACUUAAUUACCUCCCUCCUCCGCCAAAAAAAUUUUUUUAAUUAAAAAAGAUGCUGAUUUUUUUAUUGUAACGAUAGUUUUAAUUGCUUUAAAAAUAACUAAAUAUCCACUAACAAGAGACUGAUUAACACUGUAGUACAACUACAAAAAAAAAAAAAAAAACAACUGUGCAGCCUUUUCUUUAAAAUGAGGCAUAUCUAAGUGCCAUUAUGAAACUAUUUCCAACAAUAUUAAGUGGGAAAAAAAGCAACGGAGACAAAAGGGUGUUGGUAAUUCUGUAGGUAAUCAUUUUUAAAGUAUUAUUAGUUUAUACUGUAUUGCACAGGGAACUAUAUUCAAUAUCUUGUAGUAACUUAUGGUGAAAGAAUAUGAAAACAAAUACAGGUAUUAUGUUCCUAUAUGACUGAAGUAUUGUGCUGUACACCAGAAAUUGACACAUUGUAAACUGACUAUACUUCAAUAAAAAUAUAUUUUAAAAAAAGUAUUAUGAGAAACUUACAAUACCUCUUGCCCUACACACACAAACAAACGGGUUUACUCAUUUUUCCUAGGACACAUUUUACCAUGGUAACCUUUGAGAAAGAUAAGAGGUAGGGAAGCCUGAAGGGAGAGACCAAAUGACAUCUGUAUGUUAAUUUUUUUAAACCAUAUACAUAACACAUACACUAACACAUACACACACAAUUUCUGAAAAAUACUUUAAUGCUAAUAAUGUAUUAUGGAGACUUUUUUUGUGGGCGAGAGGGCAGGGGCAUGCUAAAUCAGCUUUCUUACACACUUCCGAUGGGAGUAUAUUUAAUUCUACCUUUCCAGGUAGCAGUAAGGUAAAACAAAUCAAGACCCUGAGCAGCAAGCAACAUUGCUUUUUGGAAAGAUUUUAAGAAAAUCAGAAACAUACCAGAAAGAACAAUCAUAGCAGUAUUAUUGGUAAUAACAGAAAGUAGGAAACAUCCAAAAUGAACAAUUGCAGGAUUAAUUACAGUAGGCCAUUAUAAAGUAUUCAAGUAUCUGACAGAAAGUUUAUCAAAUUAAAAUACUGUAAAUUGUAAAGCAGUAGGUAAAAGAGCCCAUAUUUAUAAAGAAAAUAUACAUCCAGCUAUAAUACUGUAUUUAUACACUUGGUUUUAACAUACUGUAUUCAGGUACAUGGGUCUCUUUUUGGCGGGGAGCAUGGGGGUAGGUUAUGUUAUAUUUUUUGAUGUAAUGAAGUAAUGAGCUGGUUUUUAGAUUUCUUAACUUUAUAACUAUAUAAUCUGAUAUGUUUGCCAAUUAUCAAUAAAGUAUUUAUGGAAUGAAUAUAUUUUUGGAAUUAAGUUCUUAAGAACUCAGUUCAUAUUUCUCCCUUUUUCUUGAAUUUUAAUUUUAGGGAGAAGAAUAUUCACUAUAGUCAAUAUGGGAUAGCAACUACACUCUUUGAACACAGUCCUUUAAAAAAAAAAAUCAUUUUAUAAUCCUCAGUUUCACCUUCAAUGACUUGUACUAAAACGACUCAUUUUUAUCAUCAUCAAUGAAUUGUUUUAGACUCCUGAGAACCAUGACCACAACUCAUUAUCAAUUUAAGCCCGCAUUAUGCAAGAGGAUAAUGGUUCAGAACAGGAAAGUAUGUUGGCUUUAAUUGUUCUUGUGUAGAAGAAUUCAAAGUGGUACCACAGGUAGGCACACUGUUUUAAUACAGUGGGGCUCAAACAGGGAGCAAUUUUGCAGGGGACAUUUGGCAACAUCGGGAGACAUUUUUGAUUGUCAAGACUAGGGGUGAGGGGGCUAAAGGCAUUUAGUGGGAGGCCACUGGUUGCUGCUAAAUAUCCUACAAUGCACAGAAGAGCUACUCACAGCAAAGAAUUAUCCAUCCCCAAAAUGUCAACAGUUGAGAAACUGCUCUAAUGAACCAGUAACUCUUUCACAUACUUCUCCAUUACUUAGAAUUUCUAGUCUAAGUGAAAUCGAAGUUUCUUCUCAAUAAUUAUAGUCAUCUGUAGAAACUUUCUUUCCAAUAUGCCUAAAUUCACAAUAUUCCCUGUUUUCACGGCUUUGUAGUAAAUUCAUUUUCUCUCAUAAUUAGCAAAAUAACCACUUUCAUAACUUUCUCCCUAGUACAGCACCUGAUAGAAAAUUUGAGCUGAGUAUUUUACUCAUGUAUUAUUUUAAGAAUCUAGUAAAACUUAUCAACACUUACCAUACCCUCCCCCAUCCAACAUUUUUGGAUACUAUCUUUCAUUCUUUGUCCUUACUUGUCCUUCACCAUUUUCGUAGGUAUUCAUUUUCUGACCCAAAAUAACUCAGUCCUUCUUACCUAUUACUAUUAAUUUUAAGCGCUACUUCAGCAACUAGAAACACUCUUUUAGGCAGUUCCUAAUGUGAGAAUUGAAGUAUAAUAUCCUAUUUGAGUGGCAGUUUCAAAGAUUAUUUAGCUCUUACCAGAACUUAAAUGAAAACUCAGAAAGCAAUCAAGCAAAAUUAAAUUUACAUAAAGACAGUAAAAUGCUGCACUUUAUAAAUGAUUGAAUUGAAUUACUUUUUCACUUUAUUAACUAAUAAAAACAUGCAAAUUCUUAAAACUUUCAUAGAAAAUUAAACAUGCUGUCCCUCCAAACUCUUCUCCCAGGUAGUAUAAAAUUUGUACACAGUAGCUAAUACUGUAACACAUUAUCAUUGAGCCAUUUUUACUGAGAUACUUUAUUUUCUCUUAUGCACUGUCUAGAUUCUAUUAUAUGCAUUUAUAAUUUGUCUUUGUCAGAGUAAUUAAUUGCUUCUACAGAUUCUUACAUGUCAAAAUUAGUUUAAGCUAAAAAUGAAUACCCAUUAGACAACUAAGGUUACAAUCUUUCUCACCUUGCUAUUUCUAUUCUCUGUUACCCCAUUUUUCCAAGUGUCAGGCUACAACUUUUACCAGGCAAUUUAGUACAUACUUAAGUGAUAGGGAAAAAAGCUGACAAUCUAGUCUGGGCAACAUGGUUUAUGUUUCCUCUCAGAACACAGAAUUUACAGCAAAAAUCCAGUAGCGUUAUGUUAGUGCACUACUGAAUCAAACUCACAGAAUGAGAUAUAAAAUCAAAGUAAUUCCUAGUCGCUUAAUGGUCUCCUUAAAGUGUUCAUUUCUGCCCCCUAGAGCCAGUGUUCUAGGUCCAGUUCAAGAAAACUAAGUGCUGUUUUACUGGUCUUCAAAGUUAUGCAAUAGUAGCACCACUGACAUCGGUAUGUUAAAAACAGUAAAUCAUCAAAUAUUCGUAUUCUUGUAAUGAAGAAAAGCAAAAAAGAACUAACUUUAUGUUAUUUAUUCAAUUCAGUGUGAGCCAGCUGUUUCUUCUAAAGGCUACAUAGUGAUGACCAUCAAAGUUCAAAAUUUUUAUAAGUUUCAAGUUGAUUAUUAGAAAGAUUAAAAUUUCUUAGUAGCCUGAAAUUUCUGAAAUUUAGUUUUCAGUUUUAGCAAGCAAAUCAUAUCCAAGAAAUUUUAAUAUAAUUUCCCCAUCUUACUCUAAAUUCCUACUUAUAAGCACAUUUACAUGAAAAAAAUUACUUCUUUAAUUAUUCAAUCAAGCUAAAUUAAUGCCAUGUAUUCUGAAUUAGCAGAGUUUUUCUUAAGUUAAUUAAAAUUCAGGUCCAUUUAACUUUUAGACUCAUUAAAAAAUAAGCACUGAUACAAAAGACCCUUUCAAAUGUACUGAACUUAAGCAGUAAUUCUGCAAUUUCUUUCCAUAAAACUAACGAUAAAAGUUUUCUAAUGUAAAAUUUCUUGGGUAUGGUAUAAUGUUAGCCCUCUGUAUUUGCAGGUCCCAAAUCCUCAGGUUCAACCAGCUGUGGAUCAAAAAUAUUCAGGGGGAAGAAAAAUUCCAAAAAGUUCUAAAAGCCAAAAUUUGAAUUUGCUGUGCCAGCAACUAUUUACAUCAUACAGGCAUACCUCAGAGACAUUGUGGGUUUAGUUCCAGGCCAUAGCAAUACAUAAGUUACAUGCAAAUACUAUGCCAUUUUCAAAGGAACUUGAGCAUCCUCAGAUUUUGGUACCUGAGGGGCCCUGGAAACAAUCCCCCCACCUCAGAAACCAAGGGAUGACCAAAAUAUCGAAAUUGAUACUCCAGAACAGAGCUGCCUAAUAAAAACAUAAUGUGAGUCAUGUAUGUAAUUUAAAAUUUUCUAGUAACCACAUUAAAAACAUGAAUUUUCAUAAUUUACAACCCAAUACCGAAGUUAGUUUCAGGUGUACAAUAAGGUGAUUCAAUUAUACAUAUAUAUUCUUUUUCAUAUUUUUUCCAUUAUAAGUUACUAUAAGAUACUGAAUAUAGUUCCCUCUAUUAUACAGUAGGUCUUUGUUGUUUAUCUAUUUUAUAUAUAGUAGUGUGUAUCUGUUAAUCCCAAACUCCUAAUUUAUGCCUCUCCCUCACCCCUUUCCCCUUUAGUAACCACAGUUUGUUUUCUGUGUCUGUGAGUGUAUUUCUAGUUUGUAAAUAAGUUCAUUUGUAUCAUUUUCUUUUUGGAUGCCACAUAUAAAUGAUAGCAUAUAUUUGUCUUUGUCUGAUUUACUGAAGUAUUAUUUCCACAUGUAAUAUUUAUUAAUACACAAUAAGUUCUAUGGUAUAUUUUGUAUGUUUUCCAUACUAGGUUUCCCAAACCUGGUGCAUCUUCCACACUUCCAUAGUAAUAGGUCAGUCCCCUUAAGCACUCAAUAGCCCCAGGGGCUAGCGGCUUCUGAACGGAACAGAGCAGCUCCAGAGACUCCAGAGCAGAUCAACCUCUACUGAAAUGCAACCUAAGAAUCUUCUCCACCUCUAAUCACAAAUUGUACAGGCAUGUCCUCAUGUGUUAAAACCUGGCUAUUAUAAAACAUACCAAAGCAUAUGUUAUUCUCCUUUUCUGAUAAAAAAUUUUCAAAAUCAGAA
Molecule: RNA transcript, 22085 nt
Organism: Camelus dromedarius (Arabian camel)
Lineage: Eukaryota; Metazoa; Chordata; Mammalia; Artiodactyla; Camelidae
Gene: HERC4
Gene name: HECT and RLD domain containing E3 ubiquitin protein ligase 4
Exons: 26
Source: RefSeq, a predicted model, not a curated record